UGCAAGUCGACGGUAACAAGCUCAUAGGGUGCUGACGAGUGGCGGACGGGUGAGUAAAGCGUAUGGAUCUACCUUGUUGAGGGGAAUAGCUUAGGGAAACUUAAGGUAAUACCGCAUAAGCCCCAAGGGGGAAAGCCGGGGACCGAAGAGGCCUGGCGCAAUAAGAUGAACGUACGUCGGAUUAGCUAGUUGGUAGGGUAAAGGCCUACCAAGGCGGUGAUCCGUAGCUGGUCUGAGAGGACGACCAGCCACACUGGGACUGAGACACGGCCCAGACUCCUACGGGAGGCAGCAGUGGGGAAUAUUGGACAAUGGGCGAAAGCCUGAUCCAGCAAUGCCGUGUGUGUGAAGAAGGCCUGCGGGUUGUAAAGCACUUUCGUUGGAGAGAAAGACGUCAUGACUAACAAGCAUGGCAGAUGAUGUUAUCCAAAGAAGAAGCACCGGCUAACUCUGUGCCAGCAGCCGCGGUAAUACAGAGGGUGCGAGCGUUAAUCAGAAUUACUGGGCGUAAAGGGUGCGUAGGUGGUAGCAUAAGUUAGGUGUGAAAGUCCUGGCUUAACCUGGGGAUUGCGCUUAAUACUGUGUUACUUGAGUAUUGUAGAGGAAAGUGAAAUUUCCGGUGUAGCGGUGAAAUGCGUAUAUAUCGGAAGGAACAUCAGUGGCGAAGGCGACUUUCUGGACAAAUACUGACACUGAGGCACGAAAGCAUGGGGAGCAAACAGGAUUAGAUACCCUGGUAGUCCAUGCCGUAAACGAUGAAGACUGGCUGUUGGGAGCCUGAGGGCUUUUAGUAGCGAAGCUAACGCGUUAAGUCUUCCGCCUGAGGAGUACGACCGC
RNAcentral lists this ribosomal RNA (837 nucleotides) under uncultured bacterium. RNAcentral's name for it is "bacterial SSU rRNA". It matches the Rfam family "Bacterial small subunit ribosomal RNA", at positions 56 to 889 of the family's 1533-position model. The record is from RNAcentral.